RNAcentral lists this ribosomal RNA (551 nucleotides) under uncultured Diversispora. RNAcentral describes it as "SSU rRNA". It matches the Rfam family "Eukaryotic small subunit ribosomal RNA", at positions 548 to 1098 of the family's 1831-position model. Lineage: Eukaryota; Fungi; Glomeromycota; Glomeromycetes; Diversisporales; Diversisporaceae. The record is from RNAcentral.
UUGGAGGGCAAGUCUGGUGCCAGCAGCCGCGGUAAUUCCAGCUCCAAUAGCGUAUAUUAAAGUUGUUGCAGUUAAAAAGCUCGUAGUUGAACUUCGGGGUUUACUCAUUGGUCAGGCUUAAUUGUCUGCACUGGUGAGAUGAAUCUCUACCUUCUGAGGAACUUUCAUGUCAUUUAUUUGGUGUGAUUGGAAAUCAGGACUGUUACUUUGAAAAAAUUAGAGUGUUUAAAGCAGGCUAACGUCUGAAUACAUUAGCAUGGAAUAAUGAAAUAGGACGGACUGAUUCUAUUUCGUUGGUUUCUAGGAUCACCGUAAUGAUUAAUAGGGAUAGUUGGGGGCAUUAGUAUUCAAUUGUCAGAGGUGAAAUUCUUGGAUUUAUUGAAGACUAACUACUGCGAAAGCAUUUGCCAAGGAUGUUUUCAUUAAUCAAGAACGAAAGUUAGGGGAUCGAAGACGAUCAGAUACCGUCGUAGUCUUAACCAUAAACUAUGCCGACUAGGGAUCGGACGAAGUUAAUUUUAUAAUGACGCGUUCGGCGCCUUACGGGAAAC